Molecule: antisense RNA, 75 nt
Filed under: Saccharothrix sp. ST-888
Lineage: Bacteria; Bacillati; Actinomycetota; Actinomycetes; Pseudonocardiales; Pseudonocardiaceae
Description: ASpks TB sRNA
Rfam family: ASpks TB sRNA
Source: Rfam by way of RNAcentral
CUUCACCGAGCCCAGCCACAGCGGCCGUUCCUCCGACCGCUCCUGGCCGUAGGUGGCCAGCAGCGCCUGCGCCUC